UACGUAGGCAGCGAGCGUUGUUCGGAAUUACUGGGCGUAAAGAGUGUGUAGGCGGUGCUCUAAGUUCGGUGUGAAAUCUCCUGCUUAACUGGGAGGGUGCGCCGGAAACUGGGGUGCUCGAGCGUGGGAGAGGAAAGCGGGAAUUCCUGGUGUAGCGGUGAAAUGCGUAGAUAUCAGGAGGGAACACCUGUGGUGUAGACAGCUUUCUGGACCAUUGCUGACGCUGAGACACGAAAGCGUGGGUAGCAAACAGG
This 254-nucleotide ribosomal RNA is filed under the name uncultured bacterium. RNAcentral's name for it is "partial 16S ribosomal RNA". It matches the Rfam family "Bacterial small subunit ribosomal RNA", at positions 524 to 776 of the family's 1533-position model. The record is from RNAcentral.